RNAcentral lists this transfer RNA (71 nucleotides) under Achatinella sowerbyana. RNAcentral's name for it is "tRNA-Leu". The record is from RNAcentral. Lineage: Eukaryota; Metazoa; Mollusca; Gastropoda; Stylommatophora; Achatinellidae.
AUUAAUUUAGCAAAAAAUUGCAAGUGAUUUAGAAUCAAAAGAUACUUUAGAAUAAAAUAAAGUAAUUAAUU